This 231-nucleotide long non-coding RNA is filed under the name Elaeis guineensis (African oil palm). Its description in RNAcentral is "long non-coding RNA (EGUI_LNC009247)". Lineage: Eukaryota; Viridiplantae; Streptophyta; Magnoliopsida; Arecales; Arecaceae. The record is from RNAcentral.
AUGGGAAGAAAGCAAGUGAAACCGGGUCUUGUGAGGGUGGAUCCUACUUGCUCUACCAUGAAAGUGCCUUUUAAGUUCUAAACAUACGUGGUAGACAUGAAUGCGAUCUUACACAAAUCAUAAUAGAAAUUAGCCACACCAUAAGAGAGACAAUCAAACACCAAUAAACGCCAAGCUUUAUGUGAUUCUCUGAAAUCUAAGACCAGUAUUCGCGGGAGAACAAUGCAAAGG